UGGGGAAUAUUGGACAAUGGGCGCAAGCCUGAUCCAGCCAUGCCGCGUGCAGGAUGACGGUCCUAUGGAUUGUAAACUGCUUUUUGUACAGGAAGAAACAGUUCUACGUGUAGAACCUUGACGGUACUGUAAGAAUAAGGAUCGGCUAACUCCGUGCCAGCAGCCGCGGUAAUACGGAGGAUCCAAGCGUUAUCCGGAAUCAUUGGGUUUAAAGGGUCCGUAGGCGGUUAGAUAAGUCAGUGGUGAAAGCCCAUCGCUCAACGGUGGAACGGCCAUUGAUACUGUCUGACUUGAAUUAUUAGGAAGUAACUAGAAUAUGUAGUGUAGCGGUGAAAUGCUUAGAGAUUACAUGGAAUACCAAUUGCGAAGGCAGGUUACUACUAAUGGAUUGACGCUGAUGGACGAAAGCGUGGGUAGCAAACAGGAUUAGAUACCCGAGUAGUCCCUGAGCGGGCUGGCAAGGCGCAU
This 468-nucleotide ribosomal RNA is filed under the name uncultured bacterium. RNAcentral describes it as "bacterial SSU rRNA". It matches the Rfam family "Bacterial small subunit ribosomal RNA", at positions 355 to 825 of the family's 1533-position model. The record is from RNAcentral.